RNAcentral lists this long non-coding RNA (723 nucleotides) under Pongo abelii (Sumatran orangutan). RNAcentral's name for it is "lincRNA". The record is from RNAcentral. Lineage: Eukaryota; Metazoa; Chordata; Mammalia; Primates; Hominidae.
UGAGUUCAGCCUAUCAUUUGAGAUCCGAGUAUGAUUGAGGAAAUAUCCUGAAAUAGUCCAUGAUUUGAAGAAAUGGAUAGAUGGCUAGAAUAAUAUGCUAGAUGGUAGUCAAGUUACUAACUGCAGAAUUGACUUGAUAAAAUUCUCAUCGUGUCUCCUGAUUUAGGAGAAAAAUUGGGUCUGAUGAAUGGGUAAAAUUCCCAGGUGAAAAGAAUUUGGUCGUAAGAUUUGGCAGCACCCUGAGGUUUGCCAUAUCUGAUGGCCUGGCUUUAGUGGCAGCACCUAGUGAAGGCCCAGGUGUCCUUCUGACAACCUUUACCGCCUACUAUUUUGUCCUUACUUAUGUUGAAUCACUACGCACAGGCUGUUGAAUUCAGCUGUCUGUGGAAAAAUUAUACCAACCACAUGGUUAGACAGAAGGAAUACAAUAUAUUGCUUAAUUUGUGUCUGAAAGCUAAGCAACAUGGAAAAAAACCAAGCCUGCUCCGUCACUUCCAUGAGGACAAAUGAAGACAAUUCAAGGAGGACACUGACAUGGAUCUGCCAGCUUUCUAAGCCUUUCCCCAGAUUCAAGUCCAGUCACAUCAAGUUCCCUUAUUAAAGGGUCUGCCCACUCAAAAGGAGAAAGUGCAAAAGAUGCUCAGCAAGGGUACCAAACGCAGUCAGAUGAUACUUCCUGACAGCAUCCAAGAGCAAGCCUCACCACCACAUCUGUCAAUAAAA